GAUGAACGCUGGCGGCGUGCCUAAUACAUGCAAGUCGAGCGAACAGAUGAGGAGCUUGCUCCUCUGACGUUAGCGGCGGACGGGUGAGUAACACGUGGAUAACCUACCUAUAAGACUGGGAUAACUUCGGGAAACCGGAGCUAAUACCGGAUAAUAUAUUGAACCGCAUGGUUCAAUAGUGAAAGACGGUUUUGCUGUCACUUAUAGAUGGAUCCGCGCCGCAUUAGCUAGUUGGUAAGGUAACGGCUUACAAAGGCAACGAUGCGUAGCCGACCUGAGAGGGGGAUCGGCCAAACGGGAAAUGGAAAACGGCCCAAACCCCCAGGGGGGGAAAGAGUGGGGAAUCUUCCGAAAUGGGCGAAAGCCUGACGGGGAAACGCCGGGUGGGUGAAGAAGGUCUUCGGAUCGUAAAACUCUGUUAUUAGGGAAAAAAAAAUGUGUAAGUAAAUAUGCACGUCUUGACGGUACCUAAACAGAAAGCCACGGCUAAAUACGU
Molecule: ribosomal RNA, 496 nt
Filed under: uncultured bacterium
Lineage: Bacteria
Description: partial 16S ribosomal RNA
Rfam family: Bacterial small subunit ribosomal RNA
Source: RNAcentral